Molecule: non-coding RNA, 747 nt
Organism: Coffea arabica (coffee)
Lineage: Eukaryota; Viridiplantae; Streptophyta; Magnoliopsida; Gentianales; Rubiaceae
Source: RefSeq, a predicted model, not a curated record
UGUAGUUCAUCCAUUCUUGUAUAUUGCUAGACUAGGAUUAAGAUGGAGAUGAAGAAGGCAAGGUGAUGAGCUCAAGUGACAUGGGUAAUUAGUGUUGAAAGUGACAAAAGGGAGGCAAAAUCCAGAAGACUCUUGCUUCUAAGGCGUGCCCACGCCAGACAACACAGAGCUGCGUGAAAAAGCCGGAUCGCGGGCCCAAUCCCUGGAACAACCAUUCUGAUUGGAAGAUACCUUUUUACCAUGCGUGAGAUCAUGCGUGAGAUCAGGAAACCUUAAAAACAAGAAGUCUUUUGGCAACAAACAAAUAAGAAAGUAAGAAAAAGGAAUCCUUUUGGGAAACACAGGAGAAUUGGAAACCAAUUGGAAUUGGAAAGCAAGUGCUGCAAAGACCUUUCAGUAGCAGAGGAAAUAGAAUUCGAAGAGGACUUUUGGCAACAAUCCAAUGAGGGAAAUAAGGAAACAAUCCUUGUGGGAAACAAAUUCCAAUUCAACAAGCAAAGGGAAGCGGCAGCAACACUAUAAAUAAAAAGGCAGCAAUAGACUAGGGGAUCUUCUGUCUUGGACUUGUCUCUUUGUUCUUUUUCUUCUUUUUUCUUUGGAACGCAAGUAGAAAAUAGCAGCCGACAUCUUUUACUACUUUCUCAAUCAACAAAAACUCCAUGAAAACUCUGAAUUGCUUGAAGAUUAUGCGGCAAGGCUAGUUCUUUUAUCUAGUUGAGGAAUAAAUCAAGGACCGGGGCACCAUAA